GUGCCAGCCGCCGCGGUAAUACGUAGGGGGCAAGCGUUGAUCGGAAUCACUGGGCUUACAGGGCGUGUAGGCGGGGCGGCAGGUCUUCUGUGAAAGCCCCCGGCUCAACCGGGGAAUUGCAGGGGAAACCGCCGCUCUUGAGGCAGGUAGAGGUGACCGGAACGUGUGGUGGAGCGGUGAAAUGCGUAGAUAUCACACGGAACGCCGGUGGUGAAAACGGGUCACUGGGCCUGUCCUGACGCUGAGACGCGAGAGCGUGGGGAGCAAACAGGAUUAGAUACCCCCGUAGUCC
RNAcentral lists this ribosomal RNA (292 nucleotides) under uncultured bacterium. Its description in RNAcentral is "partial 16S ribosomal RNA". It matches the Rfam family "Bacterial small subunit ribosomal RNA", at positions 505 to 796 of the family's 1533-position model. The record is from RNAcentral.